This 1438-nucleotide long non-coding RNA is filed under the name Theropithecus gelada (gelada). RNAcentral's name for it is "lncRNA (ENSTGEG00000003210.1)". The record is from RNAcentral. Lineage: Eukaryota; Metazoa; Chordata; Mammalia; Primates; Cercopithecidae.
UCAGGCGGGCGCGGAGCGGCGCGGAGUGACAAAGCCGCCGCUGCCGCCGCCGGGGGUGGGAGCAGCGCUCGCCCGCCCGCCCCUCGAUUCGCGAGGGCGUAAAAGUUUGUCUCAGCUCGAGCAUUCCUAGUGCCAACAUGCCCUCAGGUAAAGGUGGAAGUAAAUGGCCACGCUGUAUUGACAGAGGUAGGGUUUGUUUUUUAAUACUCGUUCUCACUUUAAGUCUCACCAGGGAGGGGUUUGGGAAGCACUGCGUGUUUGGGGGACGUUUUGCGCUUCCCGGUCUCUCCAGCCUACAAGUCGGGAGUCGGCGACCGCUUAGUGAUGAGAGAUGAUUUUAAAGAGCAGAAUAAAAGGCUUUCCCGUGUCUGCCCCACAGCCCCUCCAGCUCGAAUAAUGGAGAACUGUCAAUGCACUCCGCGAGCGGUGGCCCAUUGUAGCAGCUGAUGGCGAGGAGGCGACUGGGGGUGGCAGGGGCUCCUUGCCCUCGCCCUUAUGCCCAAAUAAACGCGCAAACGCGCUUACAUCUUCUGGUCAGUUAAAAGGUGAAACGAACACGAUUAAAGUAGACCAAAAGCAAAGAAAGAAAAGAAAAUCUUUCUACGUACAGAUUCUAAAUCGUACUCCCCAUACAGUCAGAGGCAGGCAGUCGAGGGCAGAGGCAGCAGGCGGAGAGAGGGAGAUAGGGUGAGGGAAGGAGAACGCGGAGAGAGACGGAGGGAGUGGGAGACGAGCAACAGCGAGCGCCAGGGCACCGCAGGCACACUGGAUGCCAGGUCCGCCGGCCCAGCCGCGCUCGGACCCUGGACCGUGCGUCGUGGGCACCAGAAACGAGACUCGGCCAAAUCCUGCCUCACCAGGUAGAUGAAAGUCAAGAGAAAAGGUGUGGAUAAAUGAAACUAGCCCAUGAUAAGCCUGUUUUCUCCGUGACCACAAUAUGAAGCAGGAUGAUGGUGGUGAAACAGUCACAAAUGGAAUAUCAAGAAACAUGCUAUCACCAGGUAUUAUCUACUGCUGUCUGCAGAAUUCAGACAUGGAGGGCUCAAUGGUGUCCCCUGGUCUUUGGAACAUUCUGUAUUUUAAUGAUCAUGGGGAUGCUGGUAGCUACCCCAAACAGAGGUAUUUUGGGGUCAAAUGGUAUAGUGCUGGCCCCUUAGGAUUUCCUGGCAGGCACGCCGGAUGGCUCGUUUCUGGACACUCAUCGUGAUGAUGAUGAUGAUGAUGAUGAUGAUGAUGAUGAUGAUAAAGCAAGGGAGACAGUGACAACACAAAAAGGUGCCUGAGAAAUUGGAUUCCAGGUAGGUCUAGAUUUGGCAGAACUGACAGGUUCAGUUCACUAAGCUUUGGUAUUGAUAAUGACGGGAAACUUCAGACAGUUUUAGAAAUCUGUUUCUAUUAAGAUAUGCCAUGGCAUUUAUGCAACAUGAGAACAAGUUUA